UACGGAGGGUGCAAACGUUGCUCGGAAUCAUUGGGCGUAAAGCGCACGUAGGCGGCCUGUUAAGUCGGGUGUGAAAGCCCUGGGCUCAACCCAGGAAGUGCACUCGAAACUGGCGGGCUUGAAUAUGGAAGAGGGUCGCGGAAUUCCCGGUGUAGAGGUGAAAUUCGUAGAUAUUAGGAAGAACACCAGUGGCGAAGGCGGCUCACUGGUCCGGUACUGACGCUGAGGUGCGAAAGCGUGGGGAGCAAACAGG
Molecule: ribosomal RNA, 253 nt
Filed under: uncultured bacterium
Lineage: Bacteria
Description: partial 16S ribosomal RNA
Rfam family: Bacterial small subunit ribosomal RNA
Source: RNAcentral